Molecule: ribosomal RNA, 889 nt
Filed under: uncultured bacterium
Lineage: Bacteria
Description: bacterial SSU rRNA
Rfam family: Bacterial small subunit ribosomal RNA
Source: RNAcentral
GUGCCAGCCGCCGCGGUAAUACGUAUGGUGCAAGCGUUAUCCCGGAUUUACUGGGUGUAAAGGGUGCGUAGGUGGCAAGGCUAGUCAGAUGUGAAAACUCAGGGCUCAACCCUGCAGACUGCAUUUGAAACUGUCUAGCUAGAGUACAGGAGAGGAAAGUGGAAUUCCUAGUGUAGCGGUGAAAUGCGUAGAUAUUAGGAGGAACACCAGUGGCGAAGGCGGCUUUCUGGACUGUAACUGACACUGAGGCACCAAAGCGUGGGGAGCAAACAGGAUUAGAUACCCUGCUAGUCCACGCCCGUAAACGAUGAAUACUAGGUGUUGGGGGAUUAAACCCUCGGUGCCGUCGCAAACGCAUUAAGUAUUCCACCUGGGGAGUACGUUCGCCAAGAAUAAACUCAAAGGAAUUGACGGGACCCGCACAAGCGGUGAGCAUGUGGUUAAUUCGAAGCACGCGAAGAACCUUACCAGGUCUUGACAUCGACAUGACAGUCUUUAAUCAAGAUUUUCCUUCGGACAUGUUAGACAGGUGGUGCAUGGUUGUCGUCAGCUCGUGUCGUGAGAUGUUGGGUUAAGUCCCGCAACGAGGCGCAACCCCUAUUUUCAGUAGCCAGCAGUUCGGCUGGGCACUCUGGAGAGACUGCCCGGGAUAAGCCGGGAGGAAGGCGGGGAUGACGUCAAAUCAUCAUGCCCCUUACGAUCUGGGCUACACACGUGCUACAAUGGCGGUGACAAAGGGAAGCAGAGCAGUGAUGCCGAGCAAACCUCAAAAAAGCCGUCUCAGUUCGGAUUGUAGUCUGCAACUCGACUACAUGAAGCUGGAAUCGCUAGUAAUCGCGAAUCAGAACGUCGCGGUGAAUACGUUCCCGGUCUUGUACACACCGCCCGU